GAUGAAGAACGCAGCGAAAUGCGAUAAGUAAUGUGAAUCGCAGAAUUCAGUGAAUCAUCGAAUCUUUGAACGCACAUUGCGCCCCUUGGUAUUCCGGGGGGCAUGCCUGUUCGAGCGUCAUUUCAACCCUCAAGCUCUGCUUGGUAUUGGGCACCGUCCUUUGCGGGCGCGCCUCAAAGACCUCGGCGGUGGCGUCUUGCCUCAAGCGUAGUAGAAUACACCUCGCUUCGGAGCGUAAGGCGUCGCCCGCCGGACGAACCUUCUGAACUUUUCUCAAGGUUGACCUCGGAUCAGGUAGGGAUACCCGCUGAACUUAAACAUAUCAAUAAGCGGAGGA
RNAcentral lists this unclassified non-coding RNA (337 nucleotides) under soil metagenome. RNAcentral's name for it is "partial contains 5.8S ribosomal RNA, internal transcribed spacer 2, and large subunit ribosomal RNA". The stretch from base 1 to 120 matches the Rfam family "5.8S ribosomal RNA", at positions 35 to 154 of the family's 154-position model. The record is from RNAcentral.